This 215-nucleotide ribosomal RNA is filed under the name Clostridioides difficile. RNAcentral describes it as "partial 23S ribosomal RNA". It matches the Rfam family "Bacterial large subunit ribosomal RNA", at positions 711 to 925 of the family's 2925-position model. Lineage: Bacteria; Bacillati; Bacillota; Clostridia; Peptostreptococcales; Peptostreptococcaceae. The record is from RNAcentral.
AGACCCGAAACCGGGCGACCUACCCAUGAGCAGGAUGAAGCGAAAGUAAAAUUUCGUGGAGGUCCGAACCCACGAGCGUUGAAAAGCUCGGGGAUGACUUGUGGGUAGCGGUGAAAUUCCAAUCGAGACCGGAGAUAGCUGGUUCUCCCCGAAAUAGCUUUAGGGCUAGCCUCAAGGUGAGAGAUACGGAGGUAGAGCACUGAAUGUCCUAGGGG